This 61-nucleotide transfer RNA is filed under the name Anolis danieli. RNAcentral's name for it is "tRNA-Cys". Lineage: Eukaryota; Metazoa; Chordata; Lepidosauria; Squamata; Anolidae. The record is from RNAcentral.
AGCCCCGGAGCCUUUUAUGGCUCUUCUUCAAAUUUGCAUUUUGAUGUUAAACCACAGGACU